Molecule: ribosomal RNA, 324 nt
Filed under: uncultured eukaryote
Lineage: Eukaryota
Description: partial 18S ribosomal RNA
Rfam family: Eukaryotic small subunit ribosomal RNA
Source: RNAcentral
CCCUUAGAUGUCCUGGGCUGCACGCGCGCUACACUGAUGUGUCCAGUAAGCACCUAACCUAUUCCGAGAGGAGCGGGUAACCUUAGCAAAGCACAUCGUGAUGGGGAUAGAUUAUUGCAAUUAUUAGUCUUGAACGAGGAAUUCCUAGUAAGCACAAGUCAUCAGCUUGUGUUGAUUACGUCCCUACCCUUUGUACACACCGCCCGUCGCUCCUACCGAUUGAAUGUUCCGGUGAGCUCUUCGGACUGCGCGGUCUGCAGUUUCUGCGUUCCGUGCGGAAAGUUGUGCAAACCUUAACAUUUAGAGGAAGGAGAAGUCGUAACA